Molecule: ribosomal RNA, 468 nt
Filed under: uncultured bacterium
Lineage: Bacteria
Description: partial 16S ribosomal RNA
Rfam family: Bacterial small subunit ribosomal RNA
Source: RNAcentral
GACGAACGCUGGCGGCGUGCUUAACACAUGCAAGUCGAACGGAAAGGCCGUGCUUCUGUGGGUUGCUCGGGUGGCGAACGGGUGAGUAACACGUGAGUAACCUGCCCUUGACUUUGGGAUAACUUCAGGAAACUGGGGCUAAUACCGGAUAGGAGCUCCUGCGGCAUGGCGGGGGUUGGAAAGUUUCGGCGGUGGUGGAUGGACGCGCGGCUUAUGAGCUUGUUGUUGGGGUAGUGACUGACCACGGCGUUGACGGGUAGCCGGACGGAGAGGGUGACCGGCCGCCAUGGUGCUGAGAUACGGCCGCGACUACUACGGGGGGCAGCAGUGGGGAAGAUUGCACAAUGGGCGGAAGCCUGAUGCCGCAACGCCGCGGGCGGGAUGAAGGCCUUCGGGGUGUAAACCGCUUUCGCCUGUGACGAAGCGGGAGUGACGGUAAUGGGUAAAGAAGCACCGGCUAACUACGUG